Molecule: ribosomal RNA, 465 nt
Filed under: uncultured bacterium
Lineage: Bacteria
Description: partial 16S ribosomal RNA
Rfam family: Bacterial small subunit ribosomal RNA
Source: RNAcentral
GACGAACGCUGGCGGCGUGCUUAACACAUGCAAGUCGAACGGAAAGGCCCCUUUGGGGGUACUCGAGUGGCGAACGGGUGAGUAACACGUGAGUAACCUGCCCUUGACUUCGGGAUAACUUCAGGAAACUGGGGCUAAUACCGGAUAGGAAUCCUUGCUGCAUGGUGGGGGUUGGAAAGCUUCGGCGGGUUUGGAUGGACUCGCGGCUUAUCAGCUUGUUGGUGGGGUGGUGGCUUACCAAGGCUUUGACGGGUAGCCGGCCUGGGAGGGCGACCGGCCACAUUGGGACUGAGAUACGGCCCAGACUCCUACGGGAGGCAGCAGUGGGGAAUAUUGCACAAUGGGCGGAAGCCCGAUGCAGCAACGCCGCGUGCGGGAUGACGGCCUUCGGGUUGUAAACCGCUUUCAGCAGGGGCGAAGCUUGUGGUGACGGUACCUGCAGAAGAAGCACCGGCUAACUACGUG